RNAcentral lists this unclassified non-coding RNA (253 nucleotides) under uncultured Gammaproteobacteria bacterium. RNAcentral describes it as "contains 16S-23S intergenic spacer region". It matches the Rfam family "Bacterial small subunit ribosomal RNA", at positions 524 to 776 of the family's 1533-position model. The record is from RNAcentral. Lineage: Bacteria; Pseudomonadati; Pseudomonadota; Gammaproteobacteria.
UACAGAGGGUGCAAGCGUUAAUCGGAAUUACUGGGCGUAAAGAGCCUGUAGGUGGUUUUGUAAGUCUGAUGUGAAAGCCCUGGGCUUAACCUGGGAGAGUCAUUGGAAACUACAAGACUAGAGACGAGUAGAGGGGAGUGGAAUUUCCGGAGUAGCGGUGAAAUGCGUAGAUAUCGGAAGGAACACCAGUGGCGAAGGCGGCUCCCUGGGCUCGCACUGACACUGAGAGGCGAAAGCGUGGGUAGCGAACAGG